This 468-nucleotide ribosomal RNA is filed under the name uncultured bacterium. RNAcentral describes it as "partial 16S ribosomal RNA". It matches the Rfam family "Bacterial small subunit ribosomal RNA", at positions 30 to 523 of the family's 1533-position model. The record is from RNAcentral.
AUUGAACGCUGGCGGAAUGCUUUACACAUGCAAGUCGAGCGAUUUACUUCGGUAAAGAGCGGCGGACGGGUGAGUAACGCGUGGGUAACCUGCCCUGUACACACGGAUAACAUACCGAAAGGUAUGCUAAUACGAGAUAAUAUGCUUUUAUCGCAUGGUAGAAGUAUCAAAGCUUUUGCGGUACAGGAUGGACCCGCGUCUGAUUAGCUAGUUGGUAAGGUAACGGCUUACCAAGGCGACGAUCAGUAGCCGACCUGAGAGGGUGAUCGGCCACAUUGGAACUGAGACACGGUCCAAACUCCUACGGGAGGCAGCAGUGGGGAAUAUUGCACAAUGGGCGAAAGCCUGAUGCAGCAACGCCGCGUGAGCGAUGAAGGCCUUCGGGUCGUAAAGCUCUGUCCUCAAGGAAGAUAAUGACGGUACUUGAGGAGGAAGCCCCGGCUAACUACGUGCCAGCCGCCGCAGUAA